CUAAGGUCUGUCGGGCAUACCGUAAGGCGAGGGAACUCGGCAAAAUAGCUCCGUAUCUAUGGUAUAAGGAGUGCCUGCAGCUUUUGCGAGGAGCAGGAGUUGCAGGUCGCAGUGACAAGGGGGUCCCGACUGUUUAAUAAAAACACAGGUGGUCGCUAGUCCGAAAGGAUGAGUAUGGCCUCUGUAUCCUGGCCAGUGGCGGUACCUAAAACCUGGGUUCAACUGGGCUAAGGGCCGCUAAACGCCGGGAGUAACUCUGACUCUCUUAAGGUAGCCAAAUGCCUUGUCGGGUAAGUUCCGACGUGCAUGAAUGGAACAACGAGGGCCCCGCUGUCCCCGCCUGCAGCCCGGUGAAGCCACAUAAUGUGGACGAACAGUCCACAAACCUCUGUCGGGGAGAGAAGACCCUGUGGAGCUUUACUGCAGCCUGUUGUUGCGGUAUGGUUGCGGAUGCAGAGCGUAGCUGGGAGCCUUCGAAACCUGCUCUCCGGGGCAGGUGGAGGCACCGAUGUAACACCAGCCAUUCGUUACCGUAUCGCUAACCCGUUCUCACGGGGACAGCGGCAGGUGGGCAGUUCGGCUGGGGCGGCACCCCCUUGAAAAAGUAUCGAGGGGGCCCAAAGAUUGGCUCAGGCGGGACAGAACUCCGCCGGUGAGGGCAAAGCCAAAAGCCAGUCUGACUGGAUUCCCAAUGAUACGGGAUUCAGAGGCGAAAGCCGGGCUUAGCGAUCCAUCAUGUCCCCACUAUUGGGGGCUGGUGGUGACAGAAAAGUUACCCUAGGGAUAACAGGCUCGUCGCGGGCGAGAGCUCCUAUCGACCCCGCGGUUUGGUACCUCGAUGUCGGCUCUUCCCAUCCUGGUUCUGCAGCAGGAGCCAAGGGUGGGGCUGCUCGCCCAUUAAAGGGGAACGUGAGCUGGGUUUAGACCGUCGUGAGACAGGUCGGUCUCUGCCUGACAGGGGCGUGGUUGUCUGAGGGGAAGUUGCCCCUAGUACGAGAGGAACAGGGCAGCGCAGCCUCUGGUUUAUCAGCUGUCCGACAGGGCACGCUGAGCAGCUAAGCUGCUUAGGAUAACUCCUGAAAGCAUCUAAGGAGGAAGCCUUUCCCGAGAAAAGACA
RNAcentral lists this ribosomal RNA (1117 nucleotides) under soil metagenome. Its description in RNAcentral is "bacterial LSU rRNA". It matches the Rfam family "Archaeal large subunit ribosomal RNA", at positions 1776 to 2878 of the family's 2987-position model. The record is from RNAcentral.